CCUACGGGAGGCAGCAGUGAGGAAUAUUUGACAAUGGGCGCGAGCCUGAACCAGCCAAGUAGCGUGCAGGAUGACUGCCCUACGGGUUGUAAACUCCUUUUAUAAAGGAAUAAAGUGAGGCACGUGUUCCAUUUUGAAUGUACUUUAUGAAUAAAGAACGGCUAACUCCGUGCCAGCAGCCGCGGUAAUACGGAGGAUCCGAGCGUUAUACGGAUUGAUUGGGUUUAAAGGGAGCGUAGAUGGGUUGUUAAGUCAGUUGUGAAAGUUUGCGGCUCAACCGUAAGAUUUCAAUUGAUACUGGCAGUCUUGAGUACAGUUGAGGUAGGCGGAAUUCGUGGUGUAGCGGUGAAAUGCUUAGAUAUCACGAAGAACUCCGAUUGCGAAGGCAGCUUACUAAACUGCCACUGACAUUGAUGCUCGAAAGUGUGGGUAUCAAACAGGAUUAGAUACCCGUGUAGUC
This 460-nucleotide ribosomal RNA is filed under the name uncultured bacterium. RNAcentral's name for it is "partial 16S ribosomal RNA". It matches the Rfam family "Bacterial small subunit ribosomal RNA", at positions 338 to 795 of the family's 1533-position model. The record is from RNAcentral.